RNAcentral lists this transfer RNA (74 nucleotides) under Candidatus Levyibacteriota bacterium. RNAcentral's name for it is "tRNA-Met". It matches the Rfam family "tRNA". From Rfam's summary of the family: Transfer RNA (tRNA) molecules are approximately 80 nucleotides in length. Their secondary structure includes four short double-helical elements and three loops (D, anti-codon, and T loops). Lineage: Bacteria; Candidatus Levyibacteriota. The record is from RNAcentral.
GGCUGGGUAGCUCGGUAGGUUAGAGCAAUGCAUUCAUAACGCAUAGGUCGCGGGUUCGAGCCCCGCCCCAGCUA